Molecule: microRNA precursor, 78 nt
Filed under: Chinchilla lanigera (long-tailed chinchilla)
Lineage: Eukaryota; Metazoa; Chordata; Mammalia; Rodentia; Chinchillidae
Description: miRNA (ENSCLAG00000020973.1)
Source: RNAcentral
CCUUGAGCUCACUUUGUAGCCCAGGCUGGUCUUGAACUCACAGCAAUCCUCCUGUCUCAGCCUCCUGAGUACUGGGAU